This 484-nucleotide ribosomal RNA is filed under the name uncultured bacterium. RNAcentral describes it as "partial 16S ribosomal RNA". It matches the Rfam family "Bacterial small subunit ribosomal RNA", at positions 30 to 507 of the family's 1533-position model. The record is from RNAcentral.
AUUGAACGCUGGCGGCAUGCUUUACACAUGCAAGUCGAACGGCAGCACGGACUUCGGUCUGGUGGCGAGUGGCGAACGGGUGAGUAAUACAUCGGAACGUGCCCAGUUGUGGGGGAUAACUACUCGAAAGAGUAGCUAAUACCGCAUGAGAACUGAGGUUGAAAGCAGGGGAUCGCAAGACCUUGCGCAACUGGAGCGGCCGAUGGCAGAUUAGGUAGUUGGUGGGAUAAAAGCUUACCAAGCCGACGAUCUGUAGCUGGUCUGAGAGGACGACCAGCCACACUGGGACUGAGACACGGCCCAGACUCCUACGGGAGGCAGCAGUGGGGAAUUUUGGACAAUGGGCGAAAGCCUGAUCCAGCAAUGCCGCGUGCAGGAUGAAGGCCUUCGGGUUGUAAACUGCUUUUGUACGGAACGAAAAGCUUCGGGUUAAUACCCUGGAGUCAUGACGGUACCGUAAGAAUAAGCACCGGCUAACUACGUG